UUGUGCUUUGAUUGCCAGGAUUCUGUCUGUGCACAAAUCCUUUCCAGGAAGAUCAUCCCCUGAGUGUUUGAUGCAGAUCCUUCCAAGAGAAGAAAAAACUUAAAGAAGGUGAAAAUAUUAUGGAAGAAGCACCAGCUGAUAUUCUGUCACUUACUGGAGUUGAAACAGAUAUAAUAUGAAUUCAUGGUUCAAAGGAAAAUCUGCUGGUACUUAGUUCAGUCACCACAUGAUCGUAUCCAGUCAAGCCUCAAUGCCACUUUAGAAGAUAAAAAUCUUUCAGAAAUCCAAUUCAGGUACAUCUUUGAAUUGUUUCUAGGUAAUUGGUUGUACAUCUUGCAAUGUCUCAAUAAUGUGCCAUAGAAUUUGGUUGACUGUGCCUUCGUUAUUUUAAUGCAGGUUGCUGCUAAAAAAACAAAUUGGUCACCGUGGAGGUUAUCCAAUGAACGAUCUUUGGAGUACUUUCAAAGAUGAAUUUGAGAAUGAGAAACACAUGCUCAGAGUCGCACUUGUUGUGAAGGCAGCAGAAGAUCUUAGACAGAUCAUCGAACAUGUAAUUACAGAACUUUGUCAUUUUUGUUCUUUUCAUUGGAUCAUCAUUCAGAUUGACUCACUCUAUUUUCUGCAGAAUGUUAUUACCGUUUCCAAGUAUUACUCGAGGAUUACCUCGAAGGGACUUGCAGAGCUGCAAUGCCUCGGCAUACAGGUUGAUUAUGCUGAACAUCUGUUGAUAUUCUUUAUCAAUGUCAAUCUUUAUGAAUGAUUGCCUAGACACCUCAUUUAACCCUGACCAGCCUCUCUGCCCAUGAUCCCUGUGGGACAUGGUUGCUGGAAUUGGAUACAAAUCCCAAAAAAGUGGAAAAGAAGUUUUGGUGCCUUGUAAGCCAAAGGUUUGUCGUGAGGUUGGGAAUGUUGCCUUCGUAGUUUUGUUCCGUAAACAUUUCUGACCGACAUAUAUGUGUAGACUUCACUAAGUCAACUUCUGCUCAUAGAAUUUGUUGUAGCUAUAAGUGUAAUUGUCUGGCACUUUGAAACUGUUUCUUGUCCCAGGGAGCCUAGAAUUCUAAUGGUCUUUAGAAGGGUGGGAGGGGCUCUGCUAUCACUCACCAUUUCCUGUGUUACCAAAGUAUAUCUCGCGAUUAGAGCUUUCUUACUGUGUUCAGAAAAUCUAUGUAGCUGAAUCACUCAAGGAAAAGAGCUCUGUUUUUGGGGUUCUGUUACCGCAGUCGUAGAGAGCUUUAAUCAUUCUAUAUUACCGUUUUAGGAAGCUGAGAAGCAUCUCUCCGAAAUGGUUGUUUCCAA
This is a long non-coding RNA of Syzygium oleosum, 1299 nucleotides long. RefSeq lists it as uncharacterized. The transcript has 2 exons. The record is from RefSeq and is a predicted model, not a curated record. NCBI's taxonomy places the organism in Eukaryota, Viridiplantae, Streptophyta, Magnoliopsida, Myrtales, Myrtaceae.